GGGAGGGAGGCCUGUGAGGCAGUUAGAUUCACCUCACAAGGCCUGUGUAGUAAAGGAUUAACUUACCCAAAGGGAGCUCCGGUCUUUGCCCUUGACUCCCGGGAGGUGAUCGAUGACAAGAGGUGGACGUGGAAUCCUAGAAAAGUGGUCAGAGCCGGGACCAGGGGUUGGCUUUUCUGAUGACUUUCUGGCCUCAGAUCCACUUUCCUAACUAAAAAAUGUGGAAUGCUCCAGAAUGCUCCAUAUCUUUGGAAGAUCCUUAUUUGUUCUGCAAAAGAAAGUCAUAUGGGGUGCCUGGGUCACUCAGCCCAUUAGGCGUCUGCCUUCGGC
Long non-coding RNA from Zalophus californianus (California sea lion), 330 nucleotides. RefSeq lists it as uncharacterized. The transcript has 3 exons. The record is from RefSeq and is a predicted model, not a curated record. NCBI's taxonomy places the organism in Eukaryota, Metazoa, Chordata, Mammalia, Carnivora, Otariidae.